This is a long non-coding RNA of Ictalurus punctatus (channel catfish), 984 nucleotides long. The record is from Ensembl. NCBI's taxonomy places the organism in Eukaryota, Metazoa, Chordata, Actinopteri, Siluriformes, Ictaluridae.
UUUUUUUUUUUUAUCAGCGUGACACUGUACUGUAUACGGAGAUAACAGAGAGGUACACUAGGCCAGCACUACCUGUUUGUCUCUAUGAUAUGAUGGAUUCAGGGGAUGAACCCUUGUUGCUGCCGGCAACAAGGAGCACAGGGGUAAAACUGAAGAAAGUCUGCUAUGGAGAACUGGAGAAUUGAAAUGCUUGAGUGAAGGCCUUCAGGGGAUUCUGGUGGAUGGUAGGAUGGAUUAACACACCGCCCUGGAGCCGUGGAGUGAUUGCAGGCUUCCUGCUUCCCUUCACUCUUUCUGACUACAUGUUCGUCUACUGCGAGGUCCUGGAUAUUGAUCUCUCCUAUAAUACCUUUGAAUGCACUGGAAAAAAAUCCCACAAUGAUCGCAAAGACCACGCAGCAUCGAUGUGCACUAAAUGGCGUCAGCUCUCAGCUCGUAAAGGCGGACGAACUCUCAGCCAACUUUGUCUACAAAUGUGUUCAGCAGCUAAUCAUCCACACAGUCACACCAUCUUUCUCACCUCGUUCACCAUGACGACUGCCUACGCCUCCAACGCCUUCACCCAUGUCCUGACACAACAGCACUUUCACUCUUAUCCCAGCUCUUGACGCAUAACAAACAAGUGAAAUUGUAUAAAGAUCAGCUUUACCAUUUAAAUGGAAAUUUCCUUUGUGCCAUAUGUUAAAGUCAAGCAGCAAUUCAGCAGUUUAUUUCAUUCAUGCUGGCUUUCAAAUAUGUCAUCAGGGCUUCAUAACAAAGCAGCAAACAUACUGAGUUGUCAAUAUAAAACACGAAAUUAAAAGUCUUGAACGUUCGAUAUACUUUUUGAAGUGGUAAAGAAAGGCUGUGGGCCUGUAAUUGAGCCUGAUGUUGACAGAUGUUUAGCAGCUUAGCAUCACAGAAAGCCAGAGAUGAGGCACACAUGAUGAAAUAAGUUGUAACAGCAUCCAAGAGAGGGAAUCUCCUGAAGGCCUCAUGUUUAUU